Molecule: ribosomal RNA, 288 nt
Filed under: uncultured fungus
Lineage: Eukaryota; Fungi
Description: partial 18S small subunit ribosomal RNA
Rfam family: Eukaryotic small subunit ribosomal RNA
Source: RNAcentral
UGGUUCAUUCAAAUUUCUGCCCUAUCAACUUUCGAUGGUAGGAUAGUGGCCUACCAUGGUUUCAACGGGUAACGGGGAAUUAGGGUUCUAUUCCGGAGAGGGAGCCUGAGAAACGGCUACCACAUCCAAGGAAGGCAGCAGGCGCGCAAAUUACCCAAUCCCGACACGGGGGCAGGGGUAGUGACAAUGCAAUACUGAUUACAGGGCUCUUUUGGGUCUUGUAAUUGGAAUGAGUACAAUUUAAAUCCCUUUUUAACGAGGAACAAUUGGAGGGCAAGUCUGGGUGCC